This 484-nucleotide ribosomal RNA is filed under the name uncultured bacterium. RNAcentral describes it as "partial 16S ribosomal RNA". It matches the Rfam family "Bacterial small subunit ribosomal RNA", at positions 30 to 507 of the family's 1533-position model. The record is from RNAcentral.
AUUGAACGCUGGCGGCAGGCCUAACACAUGCAAGUCGAGCGGAUGAAGGGAGCUUGCUCCUGGAUUCAGCGGCGGACGGGUGAGUAAUGCCUAGGAAUCUGCCUGGUAGUGGGGGAUAACGUCCGGAAACGGGCGCUAAUACCGCAUACGUCCUGAGGGAGAAAGUGGGGGAUCUUCGGACCUCACGCUAUCAGAUGAGCCUAGGUCGGAGUAGCUAGUUGGUGGGGUAAAGGCCUACCAAGGCGACGAUCCGUAACUGGUCUGAGAGGAUGAUCAGCCACACUGGAACUGAGACAGGGUCCAGGGUCCUACGAGAGGCAGCAGUGGGGAAUGUUGGACAAUGGGCGAAAGCCUGAUCCAGCCAUGGCGAGUGUGUGGAGAAGGUGUUCGGAGUGUAAAGCACGUUAAGUUGGGAGGAAGGGCAGUAAGUUGAUACCUUGCUGUUUUGACGGUACCGACAGAAGAAGCACCGGCUAACUUCGUG